CAGCACCUCAAGUGGUCAGGAUGAUUAUUGGGCCUAAAGCAUCCGUAGCCGGCGCUGUAAGUUUUCGGUUAAAUCUGUACGCUCAACGUACAGGCUGCCGGGAAUACUGCAGCGCUAGGGAGUGGGAGAGGUAGACGGUACUCGGUAAGAAGGGGUAAAAUCCUUUGAUCUAUUGAUGACCACCUGUGGCGAAGGCGGUCUACCAGAACACGUCCGACGGUGAGGGAUGAAAGCUGGGGGAGUAAACCGGAUUAGAGACCCGAGUAGUCC
Molecule: ribosomal RNA, 270 nt
Filed under: uncultured archaeon
Lineage: Archaea
Description: partial 16S ribosomal RNA
Rfam family: Archaeal small subunit ribosomal RNA
Source: RNAcentral